The submitters of this non-coding RNA (72 nucleotides) gave its source as unclassified sequences. The record is from Rfam.
GGGGUACUCUUAGAACCCCGGAGAAGCGUGUUAAUAGUCGUGCUUUUGGCCGGGCACGAUGGUUAGGGAAUC